UACGAAGGGGGCUAGCGUUGCUCGGAAUUACUGGGCGUAAAGGGCGCGUAGGCGGAUAGUUUAGUCAGAGGUGAAAGCCCAGGGCUCAACCCUGGAAUUGCCUUUGAUACUGGCUAUCUUGAGUUCGGGAGAGGUGAGUGGAACUCCGAGUGUAGAGGUGAAAUUCGUAGAUAUUCGGAAGAACACCAGUGGCGAAAGGCGACUCACUGGCCCGAUACUGACGCUGAGGCGCGAAAGCGUGGGGAGCAAACAGG
Molecule: ribosomal RNA, 254 nt
Filed under: uncultured bacterium
Lineage: Bacteria
Description: partial 16S ribosomal RNA
Rfam family: Bacterial small subunit ribosomal RNA
Source: RNAcentral